Molecule: ribosomal RNA, 330 nt
Filed under: uncultured Glomeromycotina
Lineage: Eukaryota; Fungi; Glomeromycota
Description: eukaryotic LSU rRNA
Source: RNAcentral
CAGUCGUACCUUCGGGUAAUCAGCCUUUCGGGUGCGAUUCUGUGGAGUGUGAGGAGUUAAACGCCUUCAUGCCUGCAUAUUCGUGCACUUUGGGUGUACUUGCUCGUGUGGUAAGUUAACAUCAAUUUUGGUUAUCAUAAAAUGGCUGGAGGAAUGUAGCUUCGAUCUCGUAUUGAAGUGUUAUAGCCUUCGGUAGAUGUGAUGAUCGGGAUUGAGGAUUGCAACGGAUACCCUUCGGGGCUACCUGUCUGAUCUCUGAUCGUUGCUCUGGUGCCGAAAGCUUGCUUACGGUUAUCAAAGUCGAUGGUCAACAGGUUAGAACGGGUUAAA